This 230-nucleotide long non-coding RNA is filed under the name Gossypium raimondii (Peruvian cotton). RNAcentral describes it as "long non-coding RNA (GRAI_LNC008814)". The record is from RNAcentral. Lineage: Eukaryota; Viridiplantae; Streptophyta; Magnoliopsida; Malvales; Malvaceae.
AAUUAAGUAUUUAUUUUUUACUAGAGCACAUGUAUCAAAUAUUCAUUAAGCCACAUAAUGUCGUUUAAUCUGGGUAUCAAAUUAAAUAUUGAAGCCAAACUCAAGUAUCAAAUAAAGACAAAAAAAAAAAACUUAGACACCAAAUGAUGUAUUAACCCCACCUUUAAAAAAAACUCAUUAAACCCCCCCACCCCCAAAUUUUCUUACCCUUUUAAUUUCUUCCAACACUU